AGCAGCCGCGGUAAUUCCAGCUCCAAUAGCGUAUAUUAAAGUUGUUGCAGUUAAAAAGCUCGUAGUUGAAUUUCGGGGUUAGUAGGUUGGUCAUGCCUCUGGUAUGUACUGGUCUCACUGAUUCCUCCUUCCUGAUGAGCCGUAAUGCCAUUAAUUUGGUGUUGCGGGGAAUUUGGACUGUUACUUUGAAAAAAUUAGAGUGUUUAAAGCAGGCUCACGCUUGAAUACAUUAGCAUGGAAUAACGGAAUAGGACGUUUGAUUCUAUUUUGUUGGUUUUCUAGGAUCGACGUAAUGAUUAAUAGGGAUAGUUGGGGGCAUUAGUAUUCAAUUGUCAGAGGUGAAAUUCUUGGAUUUAUUGAAGACUAACUACUGCGAAAGCAUUUGCCAAGGAUGUUUUCAUUAAUCAAGAACGAAAGUUAGGGGAUCGAAGACGAUCAGAUACCGUCGUAGUCUUAACCAUAAACUAUGCCGACUAGGGAUCGGAUGAUGUUAAUUUUUUAAUGACUCA
This 509-nucleotide ribosomal RNA is filed under the name uncultured Glomeraceae. Its description in RNAcentral is "SSU rRNA". It matches the Rfam family "Eukaryotic small subunit ribosomal RNA", at positions 569 to 1078 of the family's 1831-position model. The record is from RNAcentral. Lineage: Eukaryota; Fungi; Glomeromycota; Glomeromycetes; Glomerales; Glomeraceae.